Molecule: long non-coding RNA, 991 nt
Organism: Leopardus geoffroyi (Geoffroy's cat)
Lineage: Eukaryota; Metazoa; Chordata; Mammalia; Carnivora; Felidae
Exons: 2
Source: RefSeq, a predicted model, not a curated record
UAUACAUUGUGUCGCUGGGAGCGCAUAAGGCGUGGGUCCCCAGGGCCCUCUUGGCUCCCUCCCGGCACCCCAGACCAAAGCGAAUACUUUUGCUCCCGGUACCGCCAAUGGCACAAAGGAACAAUUAAGAAGUCAUGUCCUUGUAAACAUUCCACUUGAGGUGUUGAGAGCUUGAUGACCUUGAAAGGGCAGGAGGGAAUGUUCUAAGAAAAUAACUCUGUUGUUCCUUUAUGGGUGAUCACACAAAGGAACUUUUUUGGAAUCAGGUAAUGCCGAGAAACAUAGAGAACGCCCGCUACAAGGAAUUUGCUAACAAAUACAACGCCACGCUCGCCACAAUAAAACGGCCAGUCUAACACUCUGCUGUUGUCUGUGUCCGUCUGUCAUCUUCGCCGACGCCGUUCAUCCUUCGGGAACCCCUGGACCUGCUGGGGCUGGACCUCGGCAAGUGGCGCCCGAACAGGGACCUGAAGACAGACUCACCGGACUUGUCCAACCCACCGCCUCCUCCGCCUUACCACUUGCUGACGCAAACAAGAGACAUCUUCCGGAGGAGAACCCAAGAGAACCCCUGACCCAUCACAUGAGAAAGCUUCGCCUUCAGGACAACUGGCAGCCGCUGAGACCGACACCGGCGCCGCGGCGGGGACCGACCCAGACGACUCGAGAAAGCAGUCCGCCAACUUGGGGCCAACUGAAGAAGCUGACCAAAGAAGCCGAAGGUGUGGUUCUCAACCAAGGAGUUCAGUUUCUCCUUCUACUCUCUUUGUUGCUAUGCUUGCUAUCUUGGCGUGUCAGGUAAAUGGUGUUGAACCGGUUACUUCGUAUUGGGCUUAUUUACCUAACCCUCCUUCUUUUCAACCGGUAACUUGGGAAAAUGAGGUUAUCCCAGUUUACACUAACAUUGCUCUUUGGAUGGGAGGAACUCAGUCUCCUGUUCAAUCGGGACAGGCUGUUAAUACAAAGAACUUCUCCUUUUAUGGGGUCUCAA